Non-coding RNA from Solanum lycopersicum (tomato), 1809 nucleotides. The record is from RefSeq and is a predicted model, not a curated record. Lineage: Eukaryota; Viridiplantae; Streptophyta; Magnoliopsida; Solanales; Solanaceae.
AUAAAAUGGAGAGGCAAGGUAGAAAGACAGAGCGGAUAAGAACAUGAGGAUGGCAGGAACUCCAAAACCUACUUUCCACCCCAGUCUGUCUUGUAGGUAAACGAUGCCCGUCAGGGCAAUCAAAACAGAAGCUACGCAUAAAGUAUAAUACCAGCACCAAUUGACAUGAGCAGAAAUGAGAAAACCAAGAGCAUGUAUUGUGAUGUCGUUGUAGAUUUACAAGCCUGUCCUGAUUGAUUGCAAGGCGGAGGUCUUGCUUUCGGAAUCAUUGCUGUUAACCACAACACUACAGUUCCCUGUAACAACAGGGCAUUCAAGUGUUAAAAUUAGGUAAGUUCCUCUCGUCUUAUGGGAAUAGUCACAUAUACUGUAUAGUUAACACGUCCAACUGAACCUAUUUUCCUAGUGAACACUUGCAAAAACACACUGGAAUUACUAACAAAUAUUUACCACCAUCGGCCAAGCUUCCGUGGUUGAUUUUACACUGACCUAUAAAUCAUACAGAUCACUCAGACAAAGCUAACUUUAUCAUUGCUCAAAUGUUCCCUUUACUAAUUUAAAAAGUGGUGGUUUAAUUAGUUAUCUUAGAAAUAAAUAUUUGUAGCAGCAAUUAGGGUAAUAAGGACAGUACUAUUUUUCAUAACUUAACCACCAUUGGAUCCUCUGACAGUAAUAACGCAUGCUGAUGAUUAUAAUAUUUGUCACAAAUCACGAUUACGAAAUUCUAAAUUAGUAUACGCUCUGUUUAUUUGCUUGUUCAAUUUUAACUUGACACAUCUAUUAAAAAAAAAAAUUGACAUAAUAAAUUUAUCAUUUUACCCUUAUUAAUUGAUCGAAUUUCAAAGUUAAUUUACUCAUUGAAAAGGUUUUAAUCUUUCUAAAAAUAUUAACUCUCUAAAUAAAUUGUGAAUAUAAUAGAAAAAAGAAUAUUUUUUUUUGACUUAUCAAAAAUAAAAAGUAAAAAAUUAAAAUUGAACAAGUUAAAACAGGUGGAUUAUAAAAUGAAAUUAGCAUUUUCUUCAGAAAUAUAUUAUAAUUCAAUUAGAAAAGUUCUUAAAAAGAACACUUCUAAUGAAGUAAAAAAAAGAUCAAUAAAGAUUGUCAUCAUAAAGGACAAAACUAACGCAUAUUUAAAGUAGACAAGCGGUUCCAUAAUAUUAAAUCCCAUAAAAAUACUUAUAAAACUGUUAAUGAAAAUUUGUAGCUCAUUUGGAUGGAGUGUUAAAGUUACAUAAGCUUUUUCGAUAAAUUUUAUUUAUGUAAGUAUGAGAAUAGAUCGUUUCUAAUAAAAUUUGAGUUUAUUUUUAAAAACUUAAUAAUAUCGGAAGAGUAUAAAAAGCACACCUUUAUUAUGCGUAAUAUUUCUACAACUGAUAAACUAUCUUAAUUAAUAUUAAAAUCAGUGGGAGAUUGUUGAUUUUUCAUUUUAAUAUUAGUAUUUUAUAUAUUAAUUUGCUUAUAAUGGAGUACAAAGAUGCCGUAUUUCCAUUCUUCUUGGUUGCUAUUCUUUUUAACCGUUAGUGGGCUAUUGAUCGUGAGUUAGCCCUCAUUUAUUGUUGUAAGUAGGGUUGUCAAAAAUGAAUUCAAAUAUAAGUAACCUGUUUAAUUUAUUCAGAAUUUAAAGGGUGGAUUCAAGAUAAUUUGAUUGGGUUCAAUCUCAACACAUUCAAGCUUAAUCAAUUUGAAGAGAAUUGUCAAUUGAGCCAAUUCAAUUUUCAAUUUCAAUUUGUUUAAAACUUGUUAUGAAGAUAUGUAUCUAUAUUAAAGAUAUGAAUUAUUAUUUAUUAAACAUCUUUUAGGAUUUAUCUA